This is a long non-coding RNA of Populus euphratica (Euphrates poplar), 294 nucleotides long. RefSeq lists it as uncharacterized. The record is from RefSeq and is a predicted model, not a curated record. NCBI's taxonomy places the organism in Eukaryota, Viridiplantae, Streptophyta, Magnoliopsida, Malpighiales, Salicaceae. The transcript has 3 exons.
AGUUGCUGAAGGAAAAUGAUGAGUUAUUGCAAAGGAAUUGAGAAAAAGAAAAGAGCGGGACAACUGAACUGAGAAUGGAAGCAUUGCUGACGACUUUCUUCUGGCUAUAAUCUUGUCAGAAGCCAUGUUUUACAGAGAAAAUCUGCCACUUGGGAGUGGAGUAGCUGGACUGUUAGUGAUUGAAGCGCUCAUGGAUAUUGCAGAUAUUAGAGGCAAAGCUGUCUCGGCUAUCUUGUAUAUCUCAUCUGUCUUAAUCCUCGGAAAUGGAUUUGCUGGAUUGUUCGUGAUCGAAGU